RNAcentral lists this ribosomal RNA (252 nucleotides) under uncultured bacterium. Its description in RNAcentral is "partial 16S ribosomal RNA". It matches the Rfam family "Bacterial small subunit ribosomal RNA", at positions 526 to 779 of the family's 1533-position model. The record is from RNAcentral.
CGUAGGUGCAAGCGUUAAUCGGAAUUACUGGGCGUAAAGCGUGCGCAGGCGGUUUGUAAGUUUGUCGUGAAAGCCCCGGGCGUCAACCUGGGAAUUGCGAUGAAGACUGCAAGGCUUGAAUCUGGCAGAGGGGGUAGGAAUUCCACGUGUAGCAGUGAAAUGCGUAGAGAUGUGGAGGAACACCGAUGGCGAAGGCAGCCCCCUGGGUCAAGAUUGACGCUCAUGCACGAAAGCGUGGGAGCAAACAGGAUU